UGAGAACCAAAGAGAACCCUUCCUAGUCAAAAGGGACUAGGUUGGGCCAACCUAUGGGUGGAUCCAGCGAUCUCACAGCGACGCUGGGAAACCAAGUUGGUUUGGAAUAACUGCUGAAAGCAUUUAAGCGGGAAAUCCUUCUCUAGACAAGUUCUCGUACAAGGUAUCCAUCACCUUGAUAGGUGAUAGGUGUAAGCACCGUGAGGUGUUCAGCGAUAUCGUACUAAUUAAAUGA
Non-coding RNA from Picea glauca (white spruce), 235 nucleotides. NCBI's taxonomy places the organism in Eukaryota, Viridiplantae, Streptophyta, Pinopsida, Pinales, Pinaceae. The record is from Rfam.